GGGACAGUAACAGACAAAACAAGGCGCCAAAGACCGGUGGCGCAACUGGCUGUGAGAAGCCAGAUUGAAGGUUAGGGCUUCCUGCCCGGCUGCCGGGAGCGGUGGGCCCAGUAUUGCAGAGGACCCUCGAUAGAUGGCCAGGGUCAGCCUCAGCAAGGACAGCCAACAUGCAGCUAGAGAGCAGAGUCAUCUGGGGACAGGGUCUCCCUGUGAAGUUCAGGCUGGGACUGCAGGCAUGUGCCCCCACACUGACUUCCAUUGUGUUCUGCUGAAGGACUUCUCAGAGCUCUGAAUGUACAAGUGUGAGAAGAAGCUGCUAAGGUGGUAAGCCUCGCAAGCGCUUGAUCGUGCGCACAUAUGGAGGCCAGGGUUCUUUGUCUGCACUUAGAAAGGAGACCCAGGAAGUGCACAGUUUAAGUCUUGAGUCUCUCUUCAAACCUGUGCUAGAGUCACAGUUGCCACAUGCUCAGCUGCCAACACUGGACUUCUCUGAAAUUCAGAUUACUUACCUUCCCCCUCCCCCCAAAAAAAAGAAUUUUUUUAGGUUGUCAUUUCCAUUUAUUUAUUGAGCUUGUCCAACCAUGUAGCCCUGGCUGAACCUUGGACUCUCAGAGAUCCACCUGCUUCAUCGUAGAGGAAUUUUAAUCCAGAAACAUGGCUGCUGUGGCAAGGGAUCACAUCUGAAGACCGGGUAGUUAGUUCAUAAACCUGCCUCUAGGUUGCCUAGCAACCUGACAUCCUGUGUGGCAGAUGUGACUCGUCCCUUGGGUAGUUGAACACGAACACCGUCUACCUGAAAGAGGGAGUGGAAAUGGGGGACAGAGACGCAAAGAAUGGAGACCAAGACAGGCUUCUGAUCAAGGUCUCAGUUUACUGAACGUGCAAACAACACUUAUAAAGCAAAGGGUACAAUCAAAUUUUUUCACAGUAACAACACAUCUGUGCCACCUGGCAAGGCACCCAAGAAUUCACUCAAGGUUACACAAAGUUUGCUAUCUGGUUCCCGGGGUUGCACGGAGCUUGCUAUCUACUUCUCAGGCUCAGAACACCCCAAACACCCCACUUGCAGAGACUGCCAAGGACAGUCUCAAAGAAAUGGAACUUUAGAUAAGACCCACAUCUGCCAAGGCCAGGAGGCAGAAUUCCAAUUACCAGACUCCUUCACAGAUGCAUCUGGGAGACACAUUUCAGCUGCACACCAGAUAUAAAGAGACAACCAGUCACUACACGCUCUCUCUGCUUGGGUUUCUCUCCCCUUCCAUCCUCUCUGACUUUCUCUUUUUCUGUCUUUCUCUUCUCCUGCGCUCUUGCUCUCCCACUGUCUCUGUCUGUCUGUCUCUCUCUCCACACUUCUGCACAAUAAAUCUCUUCAUUCCAGAUCUGUUGUGUGUGUGUGUAUGUGUGUGUGUGUGGCAUUUUUAAAUAUAUUAUUACACUAGGUCUAUUUGAUCUGGCUGGAAUGCUGACAUGCCACACACCUUUAACCCCUCUGGCUAGAAUAUAGACAAGGCUUUGGUACACACUUUUAAUCCCAAACAAUGACAGUAAAGUUAGUUUGUAGAAGAAAGCACUCAUGUUUGAAGGUGACCUCUACUUGAGAGGCAGACAAAGUGAUGAAUCAGAGAAAGAAUUGACAGAAUAGGAUAUGCCCAACUUUUAUGAAGAGAGAGAGGAAAGAGGUGACUUAAGAGAGAGCAUCGCAGAGGAAGAGGAAGGAAGCAGUUUUACAGGGACAGUUGCACAGAGACAGGUUGGAGACAGAACAAGCUAGGUGAAGACAGAACAAACCAGAGAAGGAGAAGCCAGAAGAUUAGAACAUAUUGCCAAAGUUAGUAUGAGGCCAAGCAGAGCAAUUCAGUCACAAGCCAACAGAAGCCAGUUUGAAUCAGUUUGGAGAGGAGUUUGGGGCCAGACAGAGAGUUGAACCAGCCAUCCAGAGUUCAGAAGGAGCUAGAAAGGGUGAGGUAAUUGAGCAGUUAAGUCUCAGAAGCUAGAAAUACUCUAGGCCUAAGUUAGCAGAUGGAAGCAGUAAGCCUCCGAAAGGACAAUUAAAUCAAGUGAAUAAAAGUCACUUUUACACUUCAGCCUCCUGAGUACUGGGAUUGUGCUACCAUCACCCAGCACCAAUUCCUCAUCUUUUUAGACUAAGAUUUAUACCUAGCUCCCUGGAGGAUGUUUUGAGGAUACAUUUCUGCAGGGAAGACAUGUAGAAUGCUUACCCAGGCUGAUUUACCACGUAAUCUACAAACAAACCCAUGACAUUGAUCUCAUGACCCAAAUCUUGGCAAUGGCCUUUGUCCCUGUUGAUGGAUGUGCAGGAAGGCUCAGCAUGAGCAGGAAAGAAGGUAAGGCUGUGACUUGGAACGUGCAUUCAGCAGCCCUGGGUCUUUUGUGUUUUCCUGAGCCUUCUCUGCCUCCACCUCCCUCUUCAGUUCUCCACAGCAGCAGCAUGAGACUCCCCAGCCUGACCUUCGUACAAAUUGUUAUCUUGGGGAUUUUUCUUUUCUUUUUCGAGACAGGUUUCUCUGUGUAGCCCUGUCUGUCCGGGAACUCUAUUUGUAGUCCAUGUUGGCCUCAAACUCACAGAGAUCUGCCUGCUUCUGCCUCCUGAGUGCUGGGAUUAAAGGUCUCCACCACCACCGCUCAAUGGCUUCAUGCACAAGGAGACGAAUGCUUGUUACUGGUUUCAUAUUGUUUAGAUUCCUGAUAUCAAAGGUAAAGACUUCUCUGACCUACUCUUCACAAGUGGAAUUGAUGCGUAAUCCUGUUAAGGGAUACUAUCCUCUAGGCAAGACUUGGGGUGACAUUCUUGAAACCGGAUCAGCUGUGAACGCCCACAGGAGUCCCUUCCAAGACUGAAUCUACAUUCAGGGUUAGAAGUAUGGGGGUGAUCAGCCCUUCACCUGGGAGUCCAGCCACUCUCUCCUCUCUGCACCCACCCCAAGUAGUCCCGUUGCAGCUGCAUGUGAUUGAGAGGUGCUGCAGCUUACAGGAUGUGGAAAGUUAACUGAAGGGGACACUCCACAGCUUUCAACCAGCAACCAUCCUGUGCUCAAGAGAUGGCUCAUGAUCCUGUUAACAGUCUCAAUAAACUCAGUGGUUUACCAUGCUAGA
This is a long non-coding RNA of Psammomys obesus (fat sand rat), 3114 nucleotides long. RefSeq lists it as uncharacterized. The record is from RefSeq and is a predicted model, not a curated record. Lineage: Eukaryota; Metazoa; Chordata; Mammalia; Rodentia; Muridae. The transcript is spliced from 3 exons.